UAUUAACCGGAGCAGAUUUAUUAGGUGAUAAGAAUACAUGUGGAAAAUUUAGUAUCCUUGCCGAUGUUUUGCACAUACGAACAAGUCAAUUAUGCUUUGACAGUUUAGAUUACAAUUUGACAAUCAGUCCGUUUAAAUCGAAGUAAUGCACCAACACAUUCAAAACAGGAUGGUCGAGGCGGAGAGAAGAUACAAAGCUAGGUUUUUGAGAGGUCGAGCUACGAUUAAAAGAUUCCAGAAGGGAGAUAUUACCGUGGAUGACUUCGAAAUGUGGCACAUGACCAGCUACGAAUGUGGCACAUGACCAGCUACGAUGAGACUUCACAGCAUCUGAGGGACGAGACAAAAUUACUAAGCAAGCAGUUAGGUGGACGGUUCGCCUACCUAAUAGUUAUCCGGUGAGCGUAUUUCAUUUUGUUCAAAUUGCUUCAUUCAAACGCAUUACCAUUAAUCAUUGCUAGUAAUGUGAUUGUCUAACACUUACUUUGAGAUAUAUUACUAUAAAAGAUGCAUUUGGCGUGCGGAUCCGAACCAUAACAAAAAAAAAAUAAUAA
This is a long non-coding RNA of Danaus plexippus (monarch butterfly), 554 nucleotides long. RefSeq lists it as uncharacterized. Lineage: Eukaryota; Metazoa; Arthropoda; Insecta; Lepidoptera; Nymphalidae. The transcript has 2 exons. The record is from RefSeq and is a predicted model, not a curated record.